UUACGGCUAUAUCACAUUAUAAAAUACCGGUUCCCAUACGAUCAACAAAGUUAAGCAAUGUUGAGCCUGGUCAGUACCUAGCUGGGUGACUGCUUAGGAAUACAAGUUGCUGUAA
This is a non-coding RNA of Acanthosepion pharaonis, 115 nucleotides long. The record is from the annotation of a GenBank genome assembly. Lineage: Eukaryota; Metazoa; Mollusca; Cephalopoda; Sepiida; Sepiidae.